RNAcentral lists this ribosomal RNA (465 nucleotides) under uncultured bacterium. Its description in RNAcentral is "partial 16S ribosomal RNA". It matches the Rfam family "Bacterial small subunit ribosomal RNA", at positions 338 to 795 of the family's 1533-position model. The record is from RNAcentral.
CCUACGGGAGGCUGCAGUGGGGAAUAUUGCGCAAUGGGCGAAAGCCUGACGCAGCGACGCCGCGUGAGGGAUGAAGGUCUUCGGAUCGUAAACCUCUGUCAGCAGGGAAAAACGGUCACUGUGCUAAUCAGCAGUGAAUUGACGGUACCUGCAAAGGAAGCACCGGCUAACUCCGUGCCAGCAGCCGCGGUAAUACGGAGGGUGCGAGCGUUAAUCGGAAUUACUGGGCGUAAAGCGCUCGUAGGCGGUAUGUUAAAGCAAGGGUGAAAGCCCCGCGCUCAACGUGGGAACUGCCUUUGAAAACGGCAAACUGGAGUGGGUUGGAGGAUAGUGGAAGUCCAGGUGUAGGAGUGAAAUCCGUAGAUAUCGGGAGGAACAUCAGUGGCGAAGGGGACUAUCUGGCACCAAACUGACGCUGAGGAGCGAAAGCGUGGGUAGCAAACAGGAUUAGAUACCCGUGUAGUC